CCCGCACAAGCAGCGGAGCGUGUGGUUUAAUUCGAUGAUACACGAAGAACCUUACCAAGGUUUGACAUGCAAGUGGUAGUGAACUGAAAAGGGAACGACCCUUCGGGAGCUUGCACAGGUGCUGCAUGGCUGUCGUCAGCUCGUGUCGUGAGAUGUUCGGUUAAGUCCGCUAACGAGCGCAACCCUCACUGUGUGUUAUACGUGUCACACGGGACCGCCGGUUUUAAGCCGGAGGAAGGUGGGGAUGACGUCAAGUCAGCAUGGCCUUUAUAUCUUGGGCCACACACACGCUACAAUGGCCAGUACAAUGGGAUGCCAAGCCGCGAGGUGGAGCUAAUCCCAUAAAACCGAUCGUAGUCCGGAUCGCAGUCUGCAACCCGACUGCGUGAAGUCGGAAUCGCUAGUAAUCGUGAAUCAGAAUGUCACGGUGAAUACGUUCCCGGGCCUU
This 448-nucleotide ribosomal RNA is filed under the name uncultured Anaerolineaceae bacterium. RNAcentral describes it as "bacterial SSU rRNA". It matches the Rfam family "Bacterial small subunit ribosomal RNA", at positions 920 to 1382 of the family's 1533-position model. Lineage: Bacteria; Bacillati; Chloroflexota; Anaerolineae; Anaerolineales; Anaerolineaceae. The record is from RNAcentral.